RNAcentral lists this transfer RNA (65 nucleotides) under Orthomeria smaragdinum. Its description in RNAcentral is "tRNA-Leu". The record is from RNAcentral. Lineage: Eukaryota; Metazoa; Arthropoda; Insecta; Phasmatodea; Aschiphasmatidae.
ACUAUUUUGGCAGAUAAGUGCAUUAGAUUUAGGUUCUAUAAAUAUUGAUUUUCAAUAAAUUAGUA